This 72-nucleotide transfer RNA is filed under the name Neotoma lepida (desert woodrat). It matches the Rfam family "tRNA". From Rfam's summary of the family: Transfer RNA (tRNA) molecules are approximately 80 nucleotides in length. Their secondary structure includes four short double-helical elements and three loops (D, anti-codon, and T loops). Lineage: Eukaryota; Metazoa; Chordata; Mammalia; Rodentia; Cricetidae. The record is from Rfam by way of RNAcentral.
GAGGAUGUGGCUCAGUUGGUUAAGUGUUUGCCUAACAUACAAGAGGCCCUGGGUUCAAUUCCCAGCACCACA